Molecule: ribosomal RNA, 1992 nt
Filed under: human gut metagenome
Description: eukaryotic LSU rRNA
Rfam family: Eukaryotic large subunit ribosomal RNA
Source: RNAcentral
AAACACGGAUUAGGGAGUUUUACUUAAAUACGAGUCUUUAACUUUUAAAGUAAUUUUUUUAAAAAAGGCGAAAAGAAAUUAACUGGUUUUUUUAACAUGGCUAUAGAGUAUUUAAGUCAAAACCCGAAUGGAGGUGAACUAUUCCUGCAAAGAUUGAAGUCAGGGGAAACUCUGAUGGAAGAUCGUUGGCGUUAUUGAUGUGCAAAUCAUUUGCUUUAUGUAGGUAUAGGUGCGAAAGACUCAUCGAACCUCCUAAUAGCUGGUUUCCUCCGAAGUUUCCCUCAGGAUAGCUGUAACAUUUUUAAAUAGUUAAGGAUAGUAGAGAAAUGGGUAGAGGUGUAGUGGAACUACGGUUCUGCAACUUAUUUCCAAACUUCGAACGUUCUUGAUAUAAAAAAUUACCUAAUAGGAAUUUUUUAUUUAAAUAUAUGUUAUAAGUGGGCUCUGACCGGUAAGCGGUCAUGGCGAAAAGGGAUGAACCUAACGUAUAAAUAAGGUGCCUAAAUUUACUAACAAUGAAACCAUUAAAAGAGUCCAUGUAUUUAGACAGCGGGUCGGUGCCCCUAAAAGCAGGUAUCCGUUAAUGAGUGUGUUAAAACUCCCCCGCCGAAUACUCUGGCCUUGAAAAUGAAUGGCGCAUAUAGUAAUACCGAUAUUAUACAUUAAAAUUAUUUAAAAAUUUUAAAAGUAGGGGGAUGUGGAUAUCUUAGAGAAUUUUUAAUUGUAAAAUUGAAUUGAAAGAUAUCUAUUACAGAUCCUAAUUGAAGUAGCGAUUAUCCAGGUUAAUCUCCUGGGGGCUGAUGAGGAGUAGGGUUUCUGGGCAACUUAAACGGACCCAGAGUUAGUCGAUCCUAAUCAAAUUAAAUUUAGAGAAAGGGAAUAUGAAUGAUAUUUCAUAACUAAAAUUAAUUUUUAAAUGGUGACAUUUUUUUAAACUUAUUUCCAUCAAUUAAAUACUGUUUAAUAGGGAUUUCUUUCCUAUAUAACUUUUUAAUUAAAACUUAAGAAACAGGUUAACUGGAGAAUAAAGUUUUAAUUUAGUAAAAUUAUAAUUUCGAUUAUAAUAACGGCUAUUUAAAUGAUCCAUGAAACAAUAAGUUUAUUUUUUCAAAAAUUAAUUUAAUCGUACCGAUAACCGCAUCAGGUCUCCAAGGUGAGUAGCUUCUGGCCAUUGAGUAAUGGUAAUUUAGGGAAUUCGGCCAAUUAGAGCUGUAACUUCGGGAUAAAGCUUGGCUCUGAUGGAAAUCAGAACCGAUAGUUACAAGGAGAGCCCAACUGUUUAAUAAAAACUUAGUGUCGCGUCAUACCUUUAUAAGUAAUAAACGUGACAUGAAUCCUGCUCAGUGCUGUGUUUGUUAAACUGGAUUAAUCCAUUUAAGCGCCGGUAAAUAGCUGGGGUAACUAUGACUCUUAUCAAAGUAGCGAAAUACCUCGUCACUUAAUUAGUGACCUGCAUGAACGGAGCUAUGAGGUUCUCACUGUCCCAAAUUAUCACUCAGCGAACCAACAGUUGUGGGAACGGGCACAAAUUAUCCAGCGGGGAAAGAAGACCCUGUAGAGCUUCACUUUGGUCUAAUCUUGUAUAGUUUCGUUAGGGGUGCAGUCUAGGUGGGAGAUUUUUAAUCAAAUAUGAGAAACCACUACCCUUUCUGGAAUUAUACUUACUAAAAUUCUUUUCUAAAUUUUAGGAUCGGAUUAGAUAGAAAGUUUGGCUGGGGCGGCACACCUUCGAAAAAGCAGCGAAGGUGUCCUAAGUUAAGCUCAGUAAGGACAGAAAUCUUACGUUGAGGAUAAGGCCAAAAGCUUAAUUUACUGUGCCUUUUUGUACUAGGAUCAGUUUGGAAACAAAGGCCUAACGAUCCCUAAUUAGUCUUAGGUGUGUAAGACUUGGGGUGACAGACAAGUUACCUCCGGGACAACUGGCUUGUGGCUGCUAAGAGAUCAAAUCAACGCAGCUUUUUGAUUCUUCGAUGUCGGCUCUUCCUAUCCCAG